GACGAACGCUGGCGGCGUGCUUAACACAUGCAAGUCGAACGGAAAGGCCCUGCUUUUGUGGGGUGCUCGAGUGGCGAACGGGUGAGUAACACGUGAGUAACCUGCCCUUGACUUUGGGAUAACUUCAGGAAACUGGGGCUAAUACCGGAUAGGAGCUCCUGCUGCAUGGUGGGGGUUGGAAAGUUUCGGCGGUUGGGGAUGGACUCGCGGCUUAUCAGCUUGUUGGUGGGGUAGUGGCUUACCAAGGCUUUGACGGGUAGCCGGCCUGAGAGGGUGACCGGGCACAUUGGGACUGAGAGACGGACCAGACUCCUACGGGAGGCAGCAGUGGGGAACAUUGCACAAUGGGCGGAAGCCUGAUGCAGCAACGCCGCGUGCGGGAUGACGGCCUUCGGGUUGUAAACCGCUUUCGCCUGUGACGAAGCGGGAGUGACGGUAAUGGGUAAAGAAGCACCGGCUAACUACGUG
RNAcentral lists this ribosomal RNA (468 nucleotides) under uncultured bacterium. RNAcentral describes it as "partial 16S ribosomal RNA". It matches the Rfam family "Bacterial small subunit ribosomal RNA", at positions 28 to 507 of the family's 1533-position model. The record is from RNAcentral.